RNAcentral lists this ribosomal RNA (839 nucleotides) under uncultured bacterium. RNAcentral's name for it is "bacterial SSU rRNA". It matches the Rfam family "Bacterial small subunit ribosomal RNA", at positions 56 to 936 of the family's 1533-position model. The record is from RNAcentral.
UGCNAGUCGUACGAGAGUUUUUAACUCAAGUGGCGGACGGGUGAGUAACACGUAAGAAUUUACCUUUAGGAGGGGGACAACAACUGGAAACGGUUGCUAAUACCCCAUAUGCUUUCGAGUGAAAUGGAUUUCCGCCUAAAGAGAAGCUUGCGGCUGAUUAGCUUGUUGGUGAGGUAAUGGCUCACCAAGGCGACGAUCAGUAUCUGGUUUGAGAGGACGAUCAGACACACUGGAACUGAGACACGGUCCAGACUCCUACGGGAGGCAGCAGUGGGGAAUUUUCCGCAAUGGGCGAAAGCCUGACGGAGCAAUACCGCGUGAGGGAUGACGGCCUAUGGGUUGUAAACCUCUUUUUUCAGGGAGGAAUAAAUGACGUGUACCUGAAGAAUAAGCAUCGGCUAACUCCGUGCCAGCAGCCGCGGUAAGACGGAGGAUGCAAGUGUUAUCCGGAAUCACUGGGCGUAAAGCGUCUGUAGGUGGUUUAAUAAGUCAACUGUUAAAUCCUGAGGCUCAACCUCAAAAUCGCAGUCGAAACUAUUAGACUAGAGUAUAGUAGGGGUAAAGGGAAUUUCCAGUGGAGCGGUGAAAUGCGUAGAGAUUGGAAGGAACACCGAUGGCGAANGCACUUUACUGGGCUAUUACUGACACUCAGAGACGAAAGCUAGGGUAGCAAAUGGGAUUAGAUACCCCAGUAGUCCUAGCCGUAAACAAUGGAUACUAGAUGUUGAACAGAUCGACCUGUGCAGUAUCAAAGCUAACGCGUUAAGUAUCCCGCCUGGGNNGUAUGCUCGCAAGANUGAAACUCAAAGGAAUUGANNNGGGCCCNCACAAGCGGUGGA